UAGGGAAUCUUCGGCAAUGGACGAAAGUCUGACCGAGCAACGCCGCGUGAGUGAAGAAGGUCUUCGGAUCGUAAAACUCUGUUGUUAGAGAAGAACAAGGACGUUAGUAACUGAACGUCCCCUGACGGUAUCUAACCAGAAAGCCACGGCUAACUACGUGCCAGCAGCCGCGGUAAUACGUAGGUGGCAAGCGUUGUCCGGAUUUAUUGGGCGUAAAGCGAGCGCAGGCGGUUUCUUAAGUCUGAUGUGAAAGCCCCCGGCUCAACCGGGGAGGGUCAUUGGAAACUGGGAGACUAGAGUGCAGAAGAGGAGAGUGGAAUUCCAUGUGUAGCGGUGAAAUGCGUAGAUAUAUGGAGGAACACCAGUGGCGAAGGCGGCUCUCUGGUCUGUAACUGACGCUGAGGCUCGAAAGCGUGGGGAGCAAACAGG
This 429-nucleotide ribosomal RNA is filed under the name Gemmatimonadota bacterium. RNAcentral's name for it is "Gemmatimonadetes bacterium partial 16S ribosomal RNA". It matches the Rfam family "Bacterial small subunit ribosomal RNA", at positions 355 to 776 of the family's 1533-position model. Lineage: Bacteria; Pseudomonadati; Gemmatimonadota. The record is from RNAcentral.